This 334-nucleotide unclassified non-coding RNA is filed under the name soil metagenome. Its description in RNAcentral is "partial contains 5.8S ribosomal RNA, internal transcribed spacer 2, and large subunit ribosomal RNA". The stretch from base 1 to 120 matches the Rfam family "5.8S ribosomal RNA", at positions 35 to 154 of the family's 154-position model. The record is from RNAcentral.
GAUGAAGAACGUAGUGAAAUGCGAUAAGUAAUGUGAAUUGCAGAAUUCAGUGAAUCAUCGAAUCUUUGAACGCACAUUGCGCCCGCCAGUAUUCUGGCGGGCAUGCCUGUUCGAGCGUCAUUUCAACCAUCAAGCCCCCGGCUUGUGUUGGGGACCUGCGGCUGCCACAGGCCCUGAAAUGCAGUGGCGGGCUCGCUGUCACUCCGAGCGUAGUAGUUACAUCUCGCUCUGGGCGUGCUGCGGGUUCCGGCCGUUAAAAGCCUUAUUUACCCAAGGUUGACCUCGGAUCAGGUAGGAAGACCCGCUGAACUUAAGCAUAUCAAUAAGCGGAGGA